GAUGAAGAACGUAGCGAAAUGCGAUAAGUAGUGUGAAUUGCAGAAUUCAGUGAAUCAUCGAAUCUUUGAACGCACCUUGCGCCCUUUGGCUAUUCCGAAGGGCAUGUCUGUUUGAGUAUCAUGAACACCUCAACUCUCAUGGUUUUUCCAUGAUGGGCUUGGACUUUGGGGGUCUUGCCGGCCUAUGGUCAGCUCCUCUUAAAUGAAUCAGCUUGCCAGUGUUUGGUGUGGCAUCACAGGUGUGAUAACUAUCUACGCUUGUGGUUUUCCAUCAAGUAACCUUCAGUGAUGGAGGUUCGCUGGGGCUCAUAAAGGCCUCUCCUCGGUGAGGAUGGCUCCUUUGAACGUUUGAUCUCAAAUCAGGUAGGACUACCCGCUGAACUUAAGCAUAUCAAUAAGCGGAGGA
Molecule: unclassified non-coding RNA, 406 nt
Filed under: soil metagenome
Description: partial contains 5.8S ribosomal RNA, internal transcribed spacer 2, and large subunit ribosomal RNA
Rfam family: 5.8S ribosomal RNA (bases 1-121)
Source: RNAcentral